RNAcentral lists this ribosomal RNA (429 nucleotides) under Pseudomonadota bacterium. RNAcentral's name for it is "Proteobacteria bacterium partial 16S ribosomal RNA". It matches the Rfam family "Bacterial small subunit ribosomal RNA", at positions 355 to 776 of the family's 1533-position model. Lineage: Bacteria; Pseudomonadati; Pseudomonadota. The record is from RNAcentral.
UGGGGAAUAUUGGACAAUGGGCGAAAGCCUGAUCCAGCCAUGCCGCGUGUGUGAAGAAGGUCUUCGGAUUGUAAAGCACUUUAAGUUGGGAGGAAGGGCAGUAAGCGAAUACCUUGCUGUUUUGACGUUACCGACAGAAUAAGCACCGGCUAACUCUGUGCCAGCAGCCGCGGUAAUACAGAGGGUGCGAGCGUUAAUCGGAUUUACUGGGCGUAAAGCGUGCGUAGGCGGCUAAUUGAGUCGGAUGUGAAAUCCCCGAGCUUAACUUGGGAAUUGCAUUCGAUACUGGUUAGCUAGAGUGUGGGAGAGGAUGGUAGAAUUCCAGGUGUAGCGGUGAAAUGCGUAGAGAUCUGGAGGAAUACCGAUGGCGAAGGCAGCCAUCUGGCCUAACACUGACGCUGAGGUACGAAAGAAUGGGGAGCAAACAGG